RNAcentral lists this small nuclear RNA (287 nucleotides) under Urocitellus parryii (Arctic ground squirrel). RNAcentral's name for it is "7SK RNA (ENSUPAG00010011223.1)". It matches the Rfam family "7SK RNA". Rfam says of the family: 7SK was discovered as an abundant small nuclear RNA in the mid-70s but a possible function has only recently been suggested. Two independent studies have found that 7SK RNA binds the CDK9/cyclin T complex (known as elongation factor P-TEFb). The record is from RNAcentral. Lineage: Eukaryota; Metazoa; Chordata; Mammalia; Rodentia; Sciuridae.
GGAUGUGAGGGUGAUCUGGCUGCAACAUCUGUUACCUCAUUGAUUGCCAGGGUUGAUUUGACUGAUCUGGCUGKUAGGUGGGUGCUCCCUUCCUCCCUCACUACUCUAUGUGCAUCUCUCCUGAAGCUGCAUGCUUGGUUGUAGGGGAUGACUUUCCCUGAUAGAGGAGGAAUGUUCUUGUCAAGGGUAUACAAGUAGCUGCGCUCUCCUGCAGCUACUAGAAUCUCCAAACAAGCUCUCAAAAUAAAAAAUAAAAAGGGCUGAGGGUUUUGCUCUGGGUUCAAUUU